UUGUUCUCUGUAUUGAAGUUAAGCCAUCGAUCAUCGCUAGCUAUAACUAGAUUGAAUCCCUAUAUUGAAAACUUGUUAGGAUAAUACAUGAGGCUCCGUCACUCUCGAUGUUGACCAUUUAGAUAUUAUUCUAUCAUACAUAUGUGUGAUGAUUGCACGGUGUUAUUAUAUGUUUGCAACCUAAAGUUUGCAAGACUACUUGCUCAUAUUUUAGAUUAUGACCAUAAUUUUUAGAUGAGGAAAUUGCAUCUCAUGUCACUUUUUGGAUUGGUAUUUUUAAAAAUGUCACAUUUUAAUAAUCUUUGCAAGAAUGUUAAUUUUGGACUUUUUUACCCUCUCAAAAAUCUAAUUACCUUGCAUGUCAUUAAUUAAAGUUGAUUUGACUAGAUGAAAAAAUGGUUCAAAAAACGAAAAAAUAUCACAUCAAAUCAUCCACCCUUAUUUUUUAAAACCAUUUUCCAAUUUUGUACGUAUUCCCAUUUUGCAAGCCCACUUGCUAAACCUAUUUCACAUUGCAAACUAAACCCAUUUCACACAAAAAUGGUGAAGAAGAAUGUGAAGAAUUUCCAUCCCCACAAUAAUCACUUUCCCAUCUCACGAUCGAUAACCCACACCUAGUUGGAAUACAUUUCAAGUUCAAUAUCUGAUUGUUCAUAUUUGGCUCCAAAUUCAAAUUGAGGUAAAUGCCACUUUCAUUUUUUUAGAUUUACAUGUUUUGAAUAAUUUAUACUUUAAUUGUGUUAUGGUUGGUUGCAAUCUGACAAAAAACGAAAAAAUAUCACAUCAAAUCAUCCACCCUUACUUUUUAAAACCAUUUUCCAAUUUUGUACGUAUUCCCAUUUUGCAAGCCCACUUGCCAAACCUAUUUCACAUUGCAAACUAAACCCAUUUCACACAAAAAUGGUGAAGAAGAAUUUGAAGAAUUUCCAUCCCCACAAUAAUCACUUUCCCAUCUCACGAUCGAUAACCCACACCUAGUUGGAAUACAUUUCAAGUUCAAUAUCUGAUUGUUCAUAUUUGGCUCCAAAUUCAAAUCGAGGUAAAUGCCACUUUCAUUUUUUUAGAUUUACAUGUUUUGAAUAAUUUAUACUUUAAUUGUGUUAUGGUUGGUUGCAAUUUGAACAUUUUGGAUUAUAUUGAAGUAUAUUUUCAUAUGUAUAUAAUUUUGAUGUUUAGUUCAUUUACAUAUAUAUCGAAUAACUUUUAAUAUUAUUAAUCAAAUUUUAAUAAACGAUCGGGCUAUUACAAUCGUUCAUUGUCGACGGUAAACAGUCAACCUCCGUCCUAGCAGAACUUCAAUCUUGGAUUCACGCUUGAUGGUAUGGUCUAUAAUUAAGCAACAAUUUACUUAAACUUUUGUAUUCUUUUUAGCUUGUGUUUCUAUUGGUCAUCUUAUUAUUUAAAAUAUAUCAAAAUAAAUUACACGUUCUUUGGGACGUAAGAAGAAGGCCUUGAAUUUCCAACUUGUUUGAAAUUGUUUGUGAUAUUUUGGCCAAGUAAUCUUUGAAAUACAUGAAAUUAUUGGCUAUGGCUCAUAAUUUUGUCUAUUUUAUUUAUCUAAUGCCUAUUUUAAGACUAUAGGGGCUUGAUUAUUUUUACAAUAUGGGGGAGACAUUACAUGCUUUUUAAUUUCCCAAGUUCAUAUUUUUUGGCACUUGGGAUGUUCUUAAAUUCGUUGCCCAUUUAUGUUAUAAUUAUUUGGUUCUUUGUUGAUUAUGGGUGAAUGACAUUCAACAAUAUUUAGUUGUUCACCAGUUAUGAGUACCCAUAUUAUAUCCAAGCAUUUCAUUGAAUUGUCAUGAAUCCUUGAAGAAGGAAAAGAAAAAAAGCUCUAAACUAAUAUUAGUACAAUUGAACUAGAAAUUCAAUAACUCUAAAUAUUAUUUGACCUGGUCAAUUAAAUCAUCAGUGGAUCAACAAUGUUUCGAAAUAAGAAUUCGAAUAAAUGGUAAUUGAAGAACCAUAAGAUUCUUCAACUAAUGAAUUCUCGUAUGAUGCUUGUUCUCUGUAUUGAAGUUAAGUCAUCGAUCAUCGCUAGCUAUAACUAGAUUGAAUCCCUAUAUUGAAAACUUGUUAGGAUAAUACAUGAGGCUCCGUCACUCUCGAUGUUGACCAUUUAGAUAUUAUUCUAUCAUACAUGUGUGAUGAUUGCACGGUGUUAUUAUAUGUUUGCAACCUAAAGUUUGCAAGACUACUUGCUCAUAUUUUAGAUUAUGAGCAUAAUUUUUAGAUGAGGAAAUUGCAUCUCAUGUCACUUUUUGGAUUGGUAUUUUUAAAAAUGUCACAUUUUAAUAAUCUUUGCAAGAAUGUUAAUUUUGGACUUUUUUACCCUCUCAAAAAUCUAAUUACCUUGCAUGUCAUUAAUUAAAGUUGAUUUGACUAGAUGAAAAAAUGGUUCAAAAAACGAAAAAAUAUCACAUCAAAUCAUCCACCCUUACUUUUUAAAACCAUUUUCCAAUUUUGUACGUAUUCCCAUUUUGCAAGCCCACUUGCCAAACCUAUUUCACAUUGCAAACUAAACCCAUUUCACACAAAAAUGGUGAAGAAGAAUGUGAAGAAUUUCCAUCCCCACAAUAAUCACUUUCCCAUCUCACGAUCGAUAACCCACACCUAGUUGGAAUACAUUUCAAGUUCAAUAUCUGAUUGUUCAUAUUUGGCUCCAAAUUCAAAUUGAGGUAAAUGCCACUUUCAUUUUUUUAGAUUUACAUGUUUUGAAUAAUUUAUACUUUAAUUGUGUUAUGGUUGGUUGCAAUCUGAAGUUGAGGGGGUGGGGGGGAAUUCGUAUAUAUGGUUUCGAUUUAAUAAGUGACCAUAUUCAAGCUCCUAAAAAAAUUGAGAUUUUGAAACAUUUUCCAUAUAAUGUUGGGUAGAAUUAUUUAGUUUGUUUGAUUUUUUUGGUUUAAGAAAAAUCUAGAUUUGUUCCUUUAUUUUUUCUCCUUCUAUGUAGUAUUCCUAUUUUUUGAGUUAGAUUUGUUCAUUUAGACUUGUAACUAGGAUUACUUAAUUUUUAACGACAUAUAUGCUCUCUGUUUAUGAAAAAGCGAAAAUAUGUGAAAAAUGUAGUGCGCUCUUGUUUAAUGAAUUACAUUUAGGUUGCACUUGAAAGUAAGAAUAUAUGAAACUUUAGUACACUCUUGUUUAGUGUUAGUUGUAUGAUUUUGACAAUUUUACUUGAUUUUGAAGUUUUAUAGAGAAUUACUUUCCGAAUAUGUUAUUGUUUUGUGGGAUAUCGUUGAAGUAAAUUAUUGUCAUACUGUGUUAUGAAUUUAAGUUUGCAUGAAGUUUGUCUCAUUUUUUAAUUUAUAAAUCAAUUUAGUUACAUUUAUUUGUAAGCUUGUUUAUUUAUCUAUACAUUUUGAUAUUUUUUAUCGAGUCAUUGAUUCAAUUUUGAAUAAAUAAGGAGUUAUGUUUACUCUGUGAUUAUGUUUUCUCAAAGAUUUGAUUAUUCAAUUUGUAAGUACAAUAAUUUAAAUGCAUAUGUUGGGAUCUUUUUUAUCUUUUACUGACAGUGAGUUGUUAAAUCGAUUUAUGGUCUGUUCACUUAUCGUUUGGAUUGAAUUUUUGAGUUUAAUUUGAAUGUGGGCUAAAUUUGUGAGUUCAUAUGUUUUUGAAUUUGAUGUAAUGUGAUUUAAUUUGAGGAUUUAAAUAUUUGAUUCAUGAUAACAUAUGGAUAAUUCACAUAUUGUUCUUAUGGAAUCCAUAUGUCGAGAUAAACUAUCAUUCUUGACAGCUAUGAUAUGAAAUUCUCGAUAGUUGGUUAUUGUUCCUCAACAAUUAUUAUACAAUGUCAAACUUGUUUCAUAUGCUCUUCCACGUGUGUUACAAAGUAAAUAUAUUAAAUAUUAUAAUUUGAUUUUUGGUAUUUGUUCAUGCUACCGAUUUUUCAAUAGAUUAACAAACUAUAAUGCCAUUGGAGGAUUGCUUGAAGGAUACGUCAGCACCAUCUUCUAGUAAAGGUUGUGCCCUCAAAUGCUACCGAUCUAAUUGAAAAUGAAGAAGUGAUGGUGAUGAAGAAAUGAUGCUCAACGCAAAUUCGAAUACUGUCUGCUUUGAAACCUUUUCCAAUGCAAUAAAGUUACAUAGUGCAUUUAUCUUUGAUAAAGAGGUAUUUUUCAUGGGUUUACUUUGGUAUCGUGUUCAUAUUAUUGUACAAAAGUUCUUCACCUUAAUAUAGUAACAAAAAUUAAAAUAUUCGGUUCAGGCUAUGUUGUUCAGUCUUCAGGCACUAACGCUUACUUGCGGUCAUAUGUUCAUUAAUUUCCCUCAAAGUAAGCUAUACCUUUCUUGAGACUAGAACUCCAUGCACGAGGAGUGGUAAAAAACGAAGAAAAACAUGAAAUAAUUGAAUUUUGAUGAACUAAAAUUAUUGUCGUCCCUCUUUGAAGGGUUGAGAAUCGUGAAAUUUUCUAAGUUAUGAAACUCAUGUACCUAAUCUUUGUAAGUAUAACUUAUUUUCGUAUAUGUGUAGUUUAUUUUGUAGUUUUGCGAAAAUAUAGUUGUUUAGCCAUUGUGUAACUUGAUUAUGUGACUGUUACUAGUUGUGUAUUAUAAUUAUGGUCAAGUUUAGGUAUAUUUAGCCAAGUGCAAAAAAUUAUAUGGACAUUCUAAUUUCUUUUCAAUUUAAUCAACUGCCCUGUGUGAUAUAAUGACCAUCCUUUACUUGAAAUGAUGAGAUGUUGCAUGAUGUGGAAAUCCAAUGAAUAAAUUUGGAUGAUGUUAGUGAUUCAUAUACAUUAAUCGAUCGUCUUGUCAUGGUUACUGUAUCUACGCAUUGCUAUAUAUCCAUUAUAUUAUCUAGUUUGUUACAAACCGUUAUUUAUUUUUUGAUUUGUCUUGUGUCAAACUUGCCAACAUACAAUUGUCGAAAAUUAGUGCCCAAAAAGUUUGUUAAUACUAUGAUAAACACUAUUUGGUGAUUGUGUACUGAAUGACCAUAGUAGGGACAAUUUUCCAAGAAUUUGAUUAUAAACAUGCUACAAUUCUCCAAGAAUUUGAUUAUAAACAUGCUAUUUGGUUUAUAUAUGUGCUUAUAAGUCUCCUAGAAUUGUCGUUUCCAUUUAUGCUAUGUUUGCUAGAUGUAGGGUGUAUGUUGUUAAUUUUUGUGAUAUGUGAACUUAUCAAUUUAUCAUACAUCAUUAUCUCUAUCGUUUAUUUUGCAUGCGACAUUUGGAAUAUUGCGUUCAUCCAUGGGAAUCAACCAAUCAUACGUUCUGAAUGAGCCUCCGACAAUAUCUUAUUCUUCCCCGAUAUUUUCCAUCAUAGUCGUAUUGAAUGAUAAGGAAGUCACCUCUCUGAAGGUUUCACCUCCUAAGAUUAUUGUCAUAAGCUUAGACGAUUCUGAUGAAGACAAUGGGAGGAACAAUCAAAUGUCGAUGACUAUUGAUGUGGGCAAAAUUUGUGUACAUCAUUGACUAUAAUUAUUUAUUGUAGUUUUGUCAUGGAUUCAUAUGCUAACGUCUGUACAGAAUGUUAUGCAACAACAUAUCCAAUAUGCAUCUUAUUUGUAGUUAAGUUUUCAAGUUUGCAA
This 5527-nucleotide long non-coding RNA is filed under the name Olea europaea (common olive). Its description in RNAcentral is "long non-coding RNA (OEUR_LNC011639)". The record is from RNAcentral. Lineage: Eukaryota; Viridiplantae; Streptophyta; Magnoliopsida; Lamiales; Oleaceae.